CCUGGUAGCUAAUUGGUAAAGAAUCUGCCUGCAGUGCAGAAGACCUGGGUUCGAUCCCUGGGUCAGGA
RNAcentral lists this transfer RNA (68 nucleotides) under Ovis aries (sheep). It matches the Rfam family "tRNA". From Rfam's summary of the family: Transfer RNA (tRNA) molecules are approximately 80 nucleotides in length. Lineage: Eukaryota; Metazoa; Chordata; Mammalia; Artiodactyla; Bovidae. The record is from Rfam by way of RNAcentral.